Molecule: ribosomal RNA, 545 nt
Filed under: Plagusia immaculata
Lineage: Eukaryota; Metazoa; Arthropoda; Malacostraca; Decapoda; Plagusiidae
Description: partial 16S ribosomal RNA
Rfam family: Archaeal large subunit ribosomal RNA
Source: RNAcentral
GUCUGUUUGUAGUUGUAGAGAGUUUAACCUGCCCAUUGAUAAAAAUUUAAAGGCCGCGGUAAUUUGACCGUGCAAAGGUAGCAUAGUAAUUAGUUUCUUAAUUGGGAUCUUGUAUGAAUGGUUGGACAAGAAAAAAUCUGUCUUUAUAUUUAUUAUUGAAUUUAACUUUUGAGUGAAAAGGCUUAAAUGAAUUAAAGGGACGAUAAGACCCUAUAAAACUUUAUAUUGUUUAUUAUAUAGCUGAAUUUUAUGGAAUAAAAGCUUAAUAAUAGGAUUUAUUAUAUUGGGGUGAUAAAGGUAAAAUUUUUGAUAACUGCUUAAUUUUUAAAAACAAAAAUAAAUGAAGUGUAAAAUGAUCCUAAUUAAAGAUUAAAAGUUUAAGUUACUUUAGGGAUAACAGCGUUAUUUUUUUUGAGAGUUCAUAUCGAAAAAAAAGUUUGCGACCUCGAUGUUGAAUUAAAAUUUCUAUAUAAUUGCAGCAGUUAUAUAAGAAGGUCUGUUCGACCUUUAAAUUUUUACAUGAUUUGAGUUCAAACCGGCGUGAG